GGGCGAAUAGCUCAGCUGGGAGAGCACCUGCCUUACAAGCAGGGGGGCACAGUUCCGAGCCCUGUUUCGCCCACCA
Molecule: transfer RNA, 76 nt
Filed under: Bacillota bacterium
Lineage: Bacteria; Bacillati; Bacillota
Description: Firmicutes bacterium (anaerobic digester metagenome) tRNA-Val
Rfam family: tRNA
About the family: Transfer RNA (tRNA) molecules are approximately 80 nucleotides in length. Their secondary structure includes four short double-helical elements and three loops (D, anti-codon, and T loops). Further hydrogen bonds mediate the characteristic L-shaped molecular structure. tRNAs have two regions of fundamental functional importance: the anti-codon, which is responsible for specific mRNA codon recognition, and the 3' end, to which the tRNAs corresponding amino acid is attached (by aminoacyl-tRNA synthetases). tRNAs cope with the degeneracy of the genetic code in two manners: having more than one tRNA (with a specific anti-codon) for a particular amino acid; and 'wobble' base-pairing, i.e. permitting non-standard base-pairing at the 3rd anti-codon position.
Source: RNAcentral